This 260-nucleotide ribosomal RNA is filed under the name uncultured bacterium. Its description in RNAcentral is "partial 16S ribosomal RNA". It matches the Rfam family "Bacterial small subunit ribosomal RNA", at positions 524 to 783 of the family's 1533-position model. The record is from RNAcentral.
UACGUAGGUGACCAGCGUUGUCCGGAUUUACUGGGCGUAAAGAGCGCGCAGGCGGUCGUUCAAGUCGAGUGUGAAAGCCCCCGGCUCAACUGGGGAGGGUCACUCGAUACUGAUCGACUUGAAGGCAGGAGAGGGAAGCGGAAUUCCCGGUGUAGUGGUGAAAUGCGUAGAUAUCGGGAGGAACACCAGUGGCGAAGGCGGCUUCCUGGCCUGUUCUUGACGCUGAGGCGCGAAAGCUAGGGGAGCAAACGGGAUUAGAA